This 726-nucleotide long non-coding RNA is filed under the name Prunus dulcis (almond). RNAcentral describes it as "sRNA ncRNA". The record is from RNAcentral. Lineage: Eukaryota; Viridiplantae; Streptophyta; Magnoliopsida; Rosales; Rosaceae.
CUUGUAAAUGCUUUGUAAACCAUAUCUUGUAAAUGUCUUAGAUGAGACACAAAUUGAAUUAUGAGUACUCAAUGCUCAAGAGCGUUCUCCUUUGCAUCCGAGAUCUUGCAUUUUCAAUUUUAGCUCGAGUGCUCAAAACAACAAAACAAAAAACUUUUGUAUAAGUUGAAAUUUUUGUUUAGGGUGCUGGCGGCCCCCGCCAAUAUGAGGGAGGUGGGUGGGGAAAGCUGGAUUGCUUCUUUGUUCGCCGCUGACACAACAAAGAAGCAAUGACGGAUUGCCUCACGUGCCCUCUCGUGAUGCUAAAAUUGAACCAAACAUCAAAGUGAGAGAAAGCAGUGAUGGAGAUUUCGGGGUGGAAGCACUUUUGCCAAAAUGGGUUACUGUCCAAAAACACAGAGUCAUAUUCCUUUUGGCUUUGAUAUGCCACUCUCUCUGUCAUGGGGCAUCAGAUCAGAUCACACUUCCACCACAUCCCAAUCCAAAGUACCGUCAAAUGCUUUUUUGCAUCAACACCCAAAACCCAACAACAAAAACUGCUUUUUUUUUUACACCAUUUUCAUGAUUCAACUAACCAUGCAGGAGGGACAUCAUUAUGCCAACCAUGUAAAUGCUUUGGUAGACCCCCCCUGCAUUUGCAUUUCAUGGGACCUCUGUUUUUGAUUUGGGAAUAAAAUAUGCCUGCCAUUUAGAGGUGCAUGAGUGACAGGUUUCUGUUGUAACCAA